This 492-nucleotide ribosomal RNA is filed under the name uncultured bacterium. Its description in RNAcentral is "partial 16S ribosomal RNA". It matches the Rfam family "Bacterial small subunit ribosomal RNA", at positions 28 to 507 of the family's 1533-position model. The record is from RNAcentral.
GAUGAACGCUAGCUACAGGCUUAACACAUGCAAGUCGAGGGGAAACGGCAUCGAAAGCUUGCUUUUGAUGGGCGUCGACCGGCGCACGGGUGAGUAACGCGUAUCCAACCUGCCCAUCACUUGGGAAUAACCUUGCGAAAGUAAGACUAAUGCCCAAUGACAUCCCACGAAGGCAUCCGAAUGGGAUUAAAGAUUUAUCGGUGAUGGAUGGGGAUGCGUCUGAUUAGCUUGUUGGCGGGGUGACGGCCCACCAAGGCAACGAUCAGUAGGGGUUCUGAGAGCAAGGUCCCGCACAAUGGAACUGAGAUACGGUCCAAACGCGUACGGGAGGCAGCAGUGAGGAAGAUUGGUGAAUGGGCGAGAGCCUGAACCAGCCAAGUAGCGUGCAGGAUGACGGCCGUGUGAGUUGUAAGCUGCUUUUAUGAGGGGAUGAAGUGGGGCAUGUGCGACUUUUUGCAUGUACCUUAUGAAUAAGGACCGGCUAAUUCCGUG